Molecule: long non-coding RNA, 1895 nt
Filed under: Nicotiana tabacum (common tobacco)
Lineage: Eukaryota; Viridiplantae; Streptophyta; Magnoliopsida; Solanales; Solanaceae
Description: long non-coding RNA (NTAB_LNC009822)
Source: RNAcentral
AACUUUCUCAUUAUCAUCCAAAAAAGUCAUGAAGAUACUGUUAUUUGAUUUUAGUUAUUUCUAGACAAUGUAAAUAACUGUGAGAUCUAUCCUACAGUAUUGUCGUAGAUCAUACAGACAAAGCUUUGAUACAGGGGAGGAUCUAAAGGUGUGAGUAUGGUUCCUGGGAACCCAGUAGCUUUUGGCUAGAUCCCGUAUUUGUAUUAAGAAAAUCAUUCAAUGUAUAAGAAUAUUUAGUUGGGAACCCAGUUCUUUAAUCUGGUUAUUAUAAUAUAUUAAUUUAAAAUCAAUGUAGGAACCCAUAAACUAAAAAUCCUAGAUCCGCCUCUGCUUUGAUAUAAGUAGGUCAAAAAAAAUUAUCAGUAAAAAUAUCACUGAAAUGAAGCAGAACGAUAAAGCGGAUGUUACACUCUAACCUAUUAGACUUUAGAACCAACUGUAUUGCAGCAUUUGGCGAAAACACCAUGAGUAAAUGGCUAAAUGCCCUAUGAAAUCUGCUCCGUUCCUCUUCAACUGUGACCUAAAAAUCAAUUUUUAAAAUAAAAAAUUCAAUCUGAAGUAGAUAUAUGCUAGAGUUUGAAAAGCUCUGAUUUGCACCUAUUUUAAUCCGCACGGAAAUGUGUUUAAAAUGGAUAUAUACUAUCAAUAAAGCACUAAAGAUCCAUCAAAACAUUAAAACAAAUUAUUGAUUAGAACAAAUUAUUGUCUUUCUCAUACCAUCAGUAAGUACCACAUCAAUGGCACUGCCAAAAUAUUAUCAUCAUACACUCUCUACCUCAAUUAUGAAAGUGAAAGUUCAUGAUCCGUUAGAUCUUCAACUCUAUACAACAAUUUUAAAAUAAACAGUAUUCCAAAUGUCAUAAAUCCUAUAGAUGCUCAACAAAAGAGUACAAGUCCACAUGCCUCCGAAGAUAUGAGUGACUUGUAAUAAAAUUAAUAGAUCCAGCAAAUUAUCAAACACAUAAGACAUGAUAUGUUUGUCGAUUACACACUUAUUACCCAUUCAACACAACACACAUGUAUAAUUCUGAAGCUCAGAAUAACAAAAUUGCAAUAGUAAUCCAAUGGCAUAAGGUAGCCCGAUGCACAAAGCAUCACCUGUUGUUCAUGCAGAAUCAUCAUAUAUCAUAUUUGUAGUGUUCUUCUUGGAAGUGAGUCGAAUUCAUACUGUACUCUUACCAAGUGAUAAAUUUAUUAAAUAUAAAUAAAUUUAUUGUAAUAACAGAGCUCUUUUUAGAAUAUUUAUAGAUUUACCAAGGAAUAGGGGAGGUUACAACUGCCACUAAAUAAACAAACCAAGGGGGUUAAAGCUGCCUCGAAAUAGAAUUUGCCAUAUUUUCAAGAUAUAUUGUGGAGGUUGAAACCGCCGCAAAAUAAUUGUGUAGUGGAGAUUUCAACCCCCGUUGUAUAUUUUUUUACAAGUUGCUACAUUGAUUAAAAUUUUAAUUUGUAGGGGUUAAACCGCCGGAAAAUAACCUAUGUUAAAUGAUUACGGCGGGCUGUAAAAAAUUGCCACAAUAAAUGAUAGCAGCGAACCUUACAUCUUUGGGGUUUGAAGACCGCCGUGAUAUCAAUUAAUGGGGUUGCUGACCGCCGUAAAACGUGAAAAUACCCUCCUAGGAUAUUUCUUUGUAGUGAAAAAAUAGAGUGGAAAGCCAGAGAAGAUAUUUUUCCUUCUUCAUAUUGGUUGCCACCUGCACUUGGUUAUCUCUUAAUCUAAAUGAUUCAGAGCAGACCGCAAAGGAGAAACAUCCAAUCGAUGCUCCUAUUGUUCAGUCACAGAUGAUAUCUCAUAGUGAUUUACCGGUUUCUGAAAGAGCAGAAGAAAUUGAAGAACGGCCAAAGAAGCAAAAUACAAAGAGAAGCAGAAAUGUGAUAUGCUACGUGGUCGUUCC